Molecule: ribosomal RNA, 624 nt
Filed under: metal-contaminated soil clone K20-53
Lineage: Bacteria; Pseudomonadati; Planctomycetota; Planctomycetia; Planctomycetales
Description: bacterial SSU rRNA
Rfam family: Bacterial small subunit ribosomal RNA
Source: RNAcentral
GCAUGCAAGUCGCACGCUUUAUGUAGCAAUACAUGAAGAGUGGCGUAAGGGAGAGUAAUGCAUGGUUAGCUACCCUUGGGACUGGGAUAGCGGCGGGAAACUGCCGGUAAUACCAGAUAACAUCUUCGGAUCAAACGUGUGAACCGGCCCAGGGAGGCGACCAUGUCCUAUCAGCUUGUUGGCGGGGUAACGGCCCACCAAGGCUAAGACGGGUAUGGGGCGUGAGAGCGUGCCCCCACUCACUGGGACUGAGACACUGCCCAGACACCUACGGGUGGCUGCAGUCGAGAAUCUUCGGCAAUGGGCGCAAGCCUGACCGAGCGACGCCGCGUGCGGGAUGAAGGCCUUCGGGUUGUAAACCGCUGUCGUAGGGGAGGAAGAUCCUGUGAAGAACAGGGUUUGACCGAUCCUAGGAGGAAGGGCCGGCUAAUCUCCUGCCAGCAGCCGCGGUAAUACGAGAGGCCCAAACGUUAUUCGGAAUUACUGGGCUUAAAGAGUUCGUAGGCGGCGCGGAAGGUAGGGUGUGAAAGCCCUCGGCUCAACCGAGGAAUUGCGCUCUAAACUGCCGUGCUUGAGGAAGCUAGAGGUGAGCGGAACUGAUGGUGGAGCGGUGAAAUGCGUUGA